Long non-coding RNA from Numida meleagris (helmeted guineafowl), 808 nucleotides. RefSeq lists it as uncharacterized. NCBI's taxonomy places the organism in Eukaryota, Metazoa, Chordata, Aves, Galliformes, Numididae. The record is from RefSeq and is a predicted model, not a curated record. The transcript is spliced from 7 exons.
CCUCUCGCCCAGUGUUCCCACAAAGGCUUUGCUGUCCUGCAAAUCCCUCUGGCAUCUUUAUGGAAGUGCAGCUGUUGGGUGUACAAACACCACCUGAUUGAUGGGAGUGAGACUGAGGUCCUUCUGCUAAUCUUCGAAGUGGAAAAGUCACAAUGAACACAGCUGUCACAGAAUGAAAUGCAAUUUUUUUGGAGGACUUAAAUUCACAUUCUUUCUACAAGUCCUGCUGAAAUGAAAUACUGCAGAAAGCACAGGCUCCCGUGAGAAUUCCUGUGGGCUACAGCUCAUUUACAGCUGAUUUUAGAGACAGUGAAAGAAGAGUACUUUGAUUCAGAGCUUGUCUGCUACCUGCCUGACUGAAACAAGGAAAUGCAUAAAUCCAGUGAAGAGAGAUAGACAUCUCUGAAAAGCAAUUCUUUUAAAAGAGCACCAUUUGAGGCUGUAAAUGUGAUAUAUUGGAGUUGAUCUGGAAUACAAUAUACAAUCUAUUCAGAAGUGUGUUUAUCCAGUCCAGAGUGGUGAAGUUGAGAGAGUGAUGGGACAUGGGUGACAACUGGAUUAGAACAAGUACGUCAGGAAUUGUGUCCAAGACUAUUCCUAGCAGCUGCCCCUCUCUGAUCACCAACCAUGAAGAUCCAAUCUGAUUUUUAAAGAAAUAUGUAGACCAUUCUCAAGUAUGCACUGGAUGAAGAUAAGAGCCUGUCUUAUAAGCAUGAGCACAACAAUGUCAAAAGAUGUUUCAGAUCAAGCAGAGUGAUUUCCUAUGUGUAUUAGACAACUGAAGGAAUAUAUUAGUCACCCCACCCUC